CCUACGGGAGGCAGCAGUAAGGAAUAUUGCGCAAUGGGCGAAAGCCUGACGCAGCGACGCCGCGUGGGGGAUGAAGGUCUUCGGAUUGUAAACCCCUUUCGGGAGGGAAGAUGGAAUGAGCAAUCAUUCGGACGGUACCUCCAGAAGCAGCCACGGCUAACUUCGUGCCAGCAGCCGCGGUAAUACGAAGGUGGCAAGCGUUGUUCGGAUUUACUGGGCGUACAGGGAGCGUAGGCGGUUUAGUAAGCCCUUUGUGAAAUCUCCAGGCUUAACCUGGAACAGUCGGAGGGGACUGCUAAGCUAGAGUACGGGAGAGGAGCGCGGAAUUCCCGGUGUAGCGGUGAAAUGCGUAGAGAUCGGGAGGAAGGCCGGUGGCGAAGGCGGCGCUCUGGAACGUUUCUGACGCUGAGGCUCGAAAGCGUGGGGAGCAAACAGGAUUAGAUACCCUGGUAGUCCACGCCUUAAACUAUGAAUACUAAAGUGUCGGCGGUUUACCGCCGGUGCCGCAGCUAGCGCAUUAAGUAUUCCGUCCUGGAGGUACGGCCGCGAGGUAGAAACGUACGAAAGGAAAGUUAGACGGCGUGAGACGUUGCCGAACGGACGACGACGAGGGGAGGAGGG
RNAcentral lists this ribosomal RNA (621 nucleotides) under uncultured bacterium. RNAcentral's name for it is "bacterial SSU rRNA". The stretch from base 1 to 531 matches the Rfam family "Bacterial small subunit ribosomal RNA", at positions 338 to 873 of the family's 1533-position model. The record is from RNAcentral.